CCCGCACGUCUUGCGCACGCACGGGCCGCACGUGCGCGCCAAGAAACACCCUCGCGCUGCCUUCGGAAGUCCACAUCUCAUCAUUGCGUCCAUCCGAAUGCCAUCAGCCCGCCACAAAGCACAGCACCGACGGCGUGCGGCCAGAAGCGCCCCCGUGCGCUUCUUCGAAGAUGCGGUCGCCUGGUGUGUUAUCUUCUUUCUACUGGGUGCACCUGUGCUGCCCGUCUCGCGAGCGGGCAUGACCCUUGUCUCCGCACUUGCUGUCGCCCUAACAUGGCCCCUCCCUAUUUCGACGUGGGCAACGCUCCUCACUACCUCGCUGCAGCGUGAUCGUCAGAAGCAGCCGGCCAUGAGCACAGCGGUGGACCUCUUCACCGCCCCAGCCGCAGUCCCAUUACAUGACGCACCCCUUGAUGACAUAGAGGUGAAUGAGCACUGUGGUGGUGUAGGUUCGCGCACGGAGGGCAUGCUCGCUGCUCCCGGAUACGCGUCCGAGGACGCUGCGCAGUUGGCCCGUUGCUUUGCCUUGGCCGCCGUCUUGCUCGGUGGCGGUCUGUUUGGACAGUUGGACUGGCAGGUCGCGUAUCAAGUAUGGCCCUACCCCUCCUUAAGCGCCUACGUAGUGGCCCGUGUUGCAUUGGAAGUGUACGACCGAGUCGGAGGUGGAAGUGGCGUUCUUCACAGAAAAGAGGUUCAAUGAAAAAAAAGAUCAAGUGAAAAAGGAGAGGCGGGGCUGCAUGCGUGUUUUUCCGCGUUUGUGUGUGUGUUUGUGAUGAGUCCGCUGUGGUGUCUCCCUUUAUCUUUGCUCCCUUUCGUUGCUCGUCCCCCUUCCCCCUCCCUCCUACGCCACGCUUCAGCUGGGAUUGUGCUCAUUUUGUGCUGCUGCUCUGUACGGUGCAUGAACAUCACGUUAGGAUGGCGCACAUGUUGCCCUUACCUCCUUCCCCUGUACAGUAUUCCUUUUCUUAUCAUUGGAUGCGCUACUGCACACUUUUGGUUUUCUCACUGAUAUCCUGGCACUCAUUUCCCGACGCGUCUCAGACGGUGGGCGCACUGCCUCGCUUGCGCGUGCGUGCACAUGUGCGCGCAGCACCAACGUGUAUGUGUGCUAUGCCGAAGGGAGCUCCUGUGCUUCCCACAAGAAGUUACCUCAGCUUUUACGGUUUCUUGUCCACCCCUUC
Molecule: unclassified non-coding RNA, 1181 nt
Filed under: Leishmania donovani
Lineage: Eukaryota; Euglenozoa; Kinetoplastea; Trypanosomatida; Trypanosomatidae
Description: gene:unknown
Source: RNAcentral